UUUUCUGAAGGUUAAUUGGCUUUUUCUCUUUUUGUUUUUUUCCUCCACAGAAUUACCAUCUAACACAAGGCCACUUUUCAAGAUGAAGGAGGGAUUGAACUGUCACACCAGUGUAAUCAAUUAAAUGACGGAGGAAGGAGGCAUUUGCUACCUGACCUUAAUCUCCUGGGCAAGAAUGACUGAAUGGGGAAGGCUGAAUACAAAUCCAUUUGGCUGUUUCUAUUUGUGGAGUCAAUUGUGAGACAUCCAUUUAUCAUAGCUGUGGAAAACUAGCAGAAGGUCCAGAGGAAAGCCAUGGAAACAAUGAAGAACCAGGAAAAUGGAUUUCAGCCAUGUAUCCAGGAGAGAUUCAACUUGACAGAGUCUAAGUCUUCAUGUGACGGUGACAAGGCAGUUGUGGCAGACCUCUCUCCCACCUCCUUCAGAUUUCUGCUCUGGAUGGAUAUUCCCCUCCCUACACUGACCCCAUGUGUCGUGUCUCUGACGUGAGGUAAGCUCUAGAUUGCCAUGGCAUCUCUGCAUCCUGUCACUUCCUGCCAAGCCUCCUGUCCAAAUCUCCAGGGAGAGUCCAACUCCAGCCAAAGCAAGUCUUGAACUUCAAUCUCAGAACAUCUCAGAUACUUAUUAUAAGUUGUGGGUGAGUAGCAUCAAGUCAGAUUUUAUUUAUUUAUUAUUUUAACUAGUUGGGGGUUGUGUGUGAGUGUGUGUUACUUGCUCAGUCGUAUCUGACCCAUAGGCUGUAGCCCAACAAGCUCCUCUGUCCAUGGAAUUCUCCAGGCAAGAAUAUUGGAGUGGAUAGCCAUUCCCUUCUCCAAGAGAUCUUUAAGACCUAGGGAUCGAACCUGGGUCUCCUGCAUUGCAGGUGGAUUCUUUACCACUGAACCAUCAAGGAAGCCCAGUUUGGGGUGGGAUGAGGUACAAAUAGGGAGUUAACAUGAUUAUGGGCUACAGGUUAAAUGCAUUGAUGAUUUUAUAAUUUUACCAUCAAAUACAUAGACUUGUGGGGGGACUGAAAUGAAAACAGAGCUUCCUUUUAGGACUCAGCUGAUUGAUGGUGCCAGUGGAGAACUUAGUUUGGGGGCCUUCCUUUGUGGAACUGGUUGCUCUGAUAGUCUUGCCAUAUGUUCCAGAGGGCCACCCUCAGACCAUGAGUGACAGAAGUACACAUGUGCUUGAGGUACAAAGGAUGCAGUCUUGGUAACUGCAGGGACAAGUAGAGAUGCUGCUUGGGAGGAAGUCUCAUCUCAGCACUGACUGAUGAAGAGCCCCAACAUAUGACGUUGGGGUUCAUCCUACUUCCGGCUUGCACUCCAAGGCUGCCUGUGGCAGUUGGGCACAAUUUCUUUCAACUGUAGAAGAAUGAGAGAGACCAGAGAAUGGACAGAUUUUGUAAAUACAAUGAAACUGAGAAAGAGCUGGGCCUGGGGAUACAUUAUUCCCCAGCAUGAAUCCAGCUUGUUCAGGGUCCCCUGGUUCUGAGGUUUAUUUCAGGCUCUAUGUUUUCUUAUCUCUGUUCCACCUUCACCUUAUGCUCUCCUGAUUCAUCUUCUCAGUGACCUCAGAGAUUCUAGUGAAUGACAUUAAGGUUACCAUCCAAAAGCCCAUGGCUGCAAACUAUACCAGCUAGAAGGCCCUUUGAUCAAUAAUAUAUCUGGGAAAAGAUGUGUUUCCUCUUUUGUUCCUUUUAGUUUUCUUUCAUACAGAAAAGAAAUCGAAAGAUACCACAACUGGAUAAAUAACUUGGAAAUAAACUCAUCUGAUCUCAGAGUAGCCUUGGGUAG
RNAcentral lists this long non-coding RNA (1781 nucleotides) under Bos indicus x Bos taurus (hybrid cattle). RNAcentral's name for it is "lncRNA (ENSBIXG00005030588.1)". Lineage: Eukaryota; Metazoa; Chordata; Mammalia; Artiodactyla; Bovidae. The record is from RNAcentral.